Long non-coding RNA from Grus americana (Whooping crane), 1136 nucleotides. RefSeq lists it as uncharacterized. The record is from RefSeq and is a predicted model, not a curated record. NCBI's taxonomy places the organism in Eukaryota, Metazoa, Chordata, Aves, Gruiformes, Gruidae. The transcript has 3 exons.
CCCGCCCCUCGCGCGCUGUCCGCGCGUCCCUUAGUCCCGCGGUGACUUUUGGUCUGGGGUCUUCUACCGUCGUCUCGGAUUCUUCUUCUGUAUAGCUGUGGGCGGUGCGUUAUUCCACAGGUGCUGCUGCGCCGAUGCUCCGUACGUUCGCAGUAACGGGUAGAGCGGAAGGCUCCGUGGCCAGGGAAGAGCGGCACGGACACGUUCCUGCUCGCUCCGUUGCACCGGAAUUUCAACGGCUGGGUUCGGCCGCUAAAUUGAUGGCGCUACCGGAAGAAAUUUCAGAAAAAAAGGGUGGCUUUUUCGUCGAUCUCUUUGUGAGAGUAUCAAAUCAGGCGGCGGUAAAUACGUAGAAGCAACUAGGCGUACUACGGCGUGUACCGGACAGCGUUGGCGUGCCGCUCUGCUAGCAGCGGAGAGCCAGAUGAGGAUGCCCGUGAUAUGAGAAAAGCUCUGUCCAGAGAUAUGGAGACGAAAUCAGUUGUACCUCACCCUGUGACACCGGAAGACAUUGAGUAACUGUAAGCUGUGAUGCUCAGUGAAAUUACUAAGAGCGUUAAGUUUCCCGUGCCUUUGCUUUCACUCUCCCAUUCUCUUGUCUUGCGGCACGUCGCGUUUUUUGAGGCCGUGGAAGCGACACCGGGAGCGAUGGGUUGUCAGAACCAGGUCCUCCUGCCUGUCGCUGGUUUUGCUUACCUUCGCCGUCUCUGUGUACCAGCCUGCAUCUCUCUCUCUGUUCCUCAAUCCCUGUCCUCUCUUCUCUGUUCUGCUUUGUUUCACUGCGUAUGUCCCAUUCCCUGUCCCACCUUUAUCCUUCCUUCCUUCUUCCUCGCCUUUUUCUUUGUCCUUUUGUCCUGCUCCCCGACCCUGUUUCUCGCUCCAUCUGACCGUCCUUUUCCUGGCACCUUUGUGUCUCUGCUCCUUGCCCCCGUCUUUCUCUCCCCUCUGCCCAGUCCUCGUCUCCCUCUUUUGUCUCUCUGUCCCUCUGUCCUCCUCCUGCCUCUGCCCCUCUGUCCUGCUCCCUGCCCCUCUUUUUCUCACUCUGCCCCAGCGUCCCGCUCCCCGGUCCUCUUUCCCUCUGUUGCUCUCUCCUUUUAUCUCUCCUUCUCCCUGCUCCCCAGCCCGGUUCUCUCACG